UAACUACUACUUCCGUCCGGAAUUGCUUGACGCUCAAAUGGAUGUAUCUAGACGUAUUUUAGUGCUAGAUACAUCCAUUUGAGCGUCAAGUAAUUCUGGACGGAGGGAGUACUAU
Triticum aestivum (bread wheat) is the source of this 115-nucleotide non-coding RNA. The record is from Rfam. NCBI's taxonomy places the organism in Eukaryota, Viridiplantae, Streptophyta, Magnoliopsida, Poales, Poaceae.